RNAcentral lists this long non-coding RNA (1142 nucleotides) under Marmota monax (woodchuck). The record is from RNAcentral. Lineage: Eukaryota; Metazoa; Chordata; Mammalia; Rodentia; Sciuridae.
CUAAAUCUUUAUCCUAGGUAUGAAGGAGCUGGUCACUUUACUCCAAAAGCCAGAGCACUGUAAUCAGUCCAUUUACCAAGCAAGAACAUAAGGUAGGUGACCCUUUAACAAAAUUUACUCCUCUAGGUUUAUUAAAAAUUUACCCCAGUGAAGCAACAAGAAAGUUGUUGCAUUUUAUAGUUUAUUAUUUCAAAUGACAACUAAUUACUCAGGCCAAAGAGGCAGCCUUUGUGAAAAUAAUAAUACCUCAUGUUUGUACAGCGCUAUAAAACUUGCAUAAUACUUCAAAUACAUUCUCGUAUUUAACCAUAAAAAUCCCUGAAAGCAGCAGAAAAGAGGCUUUGGGAUGUCCUAAAUGGCCACAGCCAGUGACCAAGUGCUUGUUUUGCUUUGGCUGCACACCAUAGGAAAGGAAAGGGGUAAUCCCCUUUGCCACCCCAACCUCAAUGAGAUUUCCUCAGAUGUUUUCUCAGUUCCAAUAAGAGUUUACAACUCAAUACAAAUGAAACUGCUAAGAAAGGGAAAGGGACAGGUAGAGGCUUAAGCCACUUGAAAAAGUGGGAGAAACUGCUAAGUAGGCAGUUAAUAACUUUCACUAGGAUUUCCUACAAAGAGUGGUACAUUUUAGAAAAAGAAAGGGACUCAUUACAGUAUUUUAUGGAAUUUUAGAAUUGUUAUAUUAAGAAAUGUCAAACUCCGAAAAAACAAAGUGAAACAAGGUACCCCCAAGAACACUUGCUUUACUGUGUAGCUUUGUGCUUAUACCUGUCUUGGGAAUGCCUAUUAGAAACAUAUACCAACAAACACCUUAAUACUUUCCAUUGUGCAUGUAACUACAUUGUAAUUAUCCCUGAUGAGAUAAGAAUAUGUUUUGUUUUUUGUUUUUGUUUUGCCUAAAAGUAGGUAUCACCACAGGAAUCACACCUAUUAGAAAUAAUAAUAAUGAUAUGAGGAACGGUCUGUGUGCCUCCUUAUGUGUUAUUUAUGUGGGGUCACAGAUUCCCCAGGGUCUGUGCUGAAACCGUGCUGGCUUCAUUACAGUUUCGUAUAAAUCAAUGAAGGCAAGUCUCAGUUUUACCAGUGGUUAAGAGUCACUGGAAUUUUUCAAGAGAAACCUCUCAGGUAAUACAUUUUUAAAAAAC